Molecule: long non-coding RNA, 724 nt
Filed under: Chinchilla lanigera (long-tailed chinchilla)
Lineage: Eukaryota; Metazoa; Chordata; Mammalia; Rodentia; Chinchillidae
Description: lncRNA (ENSCLAG00000025240.1)
Source: RNAcentral
UGAGAGACCAAAAUGAAAUUUGGGCACAGAACAAAGACUCGUCCAAAGUCUUUAAAUGUUUAAACCCAGAUCUUUCUGGAUUCCAGAACCUGUGCUCUGAACCAGCAUUCCCAUCUUGCUUUAGGUAUUUCUUCUGAAUAUAAGACAGAGGCCGUGUGCAUUGUGAGUAGAUUCUUCCUAUUCUCUCUCUGUUUCAGGUAAAAACGUUGUUUCCGUGUUUGUGACUUUGACAUGAAGCCCAAGCACUUGGAGUUUCUCCUUAUGGGGCGACUCCGGGAGACGCUGGAGCCCUGUUCAGACUUCAGCCCGUUCUCACUGUCUUCCCCGAGUAAGCUCCUCCGGGACGUGAAGAGCCUGCGGCGGAGCUCCCUGAGCUCCCUAGCAAGAAAUCCGGUAAUGCAGAAGGAACUGAGAUAAACUUACCUGGGAUCUCCACUUAACGAGGACUUUUCAAAGUUCAUCGUCAAACAUGAGAAUGUUCUCAAAGCUCCAAUCAUCACAACGGCUGUGGGGCUGUUCUGCUCUCUGAAUUUUAGGUAUAGACGAAGAGACCGAGGCCCAAGGUCAUUCAGUGAGUUAAGGCUGAAGUGGGAACUAAAAUCAUGAGCUUUGGCUUCUGUACCUCGCCCUUCUCCCUCACCACGCCAUUUCCCUUUGCAUCAUCAUUUGUUUUUUUAUUUUCUUCUUUUGGAUAGAGACACACACACAUAUACACAUAUUUGCA